This 292-nucleotide ribosomal RNA is filed under the name uncultured bacterium. RNAcentral's name for it is "partial 16S ribosomal RNA". It matches the Rfam family "Bacterial small subunit ribosomal RNA", at positions 505 to 796 of the family's 1533-position model. The record is from RNAcentral.
GUGCCAGCAGCCGCGGUAAUACGUAGGGUGCGAGCGUUAAUCGGAAUUACUGGGCGUAAAGCGUGCGCAGGCGGUUCGCAAAGUCUGAUGUGAAAGCCCCGGGCUCAACCUGGGAAUUGCAUUGGAAACUGACGAGCUUGAGUGUGGCAGAGGGGGGUGGAACUCCACGUGUAGCAGUGAAAUGCGUAGAGAUGUGGAGGAACACCGAUGGCGAAGGCAGCCCCCUGGGCUAACACUGACGCUCAGGCACGAAAGCGUGGGGAGCAAACAGGAUUAGAUACCCUUGUAGUCC